CACUUUACCUCUUUGGACCUCAGUUUCCUUAUCUAUAAAUCUGGACUUGAUGAUAUUUUACAAACCUUCCAGCUCUAAAGUGUUAUGACUCUAUAAAAUGGGAUGGGUUGUUGAAUUAUGACAAAAGUACUCUUUCAUUUUAUAUGACCUUAGAGAAGAACAAUGCCCUCAGAUGAUGUGACAUUUUCCAGCUCUAACUUGCCUCAUUAAUUCAGGAUUGAAGCAAUAACAGAUGGGAUUGACAGUGAAAUUGAAAUUGAAAUUAGCACAUAAAUUAUAUAGAAAACUAUUAAUUUGGUAUAGCAAACCAUGGUUGUUCACAAAGUUUGGGAUAAUAGUUUUGUUGAGGAAAGUUUCUUCAUUGGUUAAAAGUUCAUGGAUCUGUUUCUCUUAAACUAAUUCCUCUUAAUGAAAUUCAAACUAGUUGAAAAGUUUUCUGAAAUUAUUAAUUUGAGUCUAAAAAUCUUUAAAAAUCUUAAUUCAAGUCCAAUAUGGAGAAUAGGAAUGCAGUAAAUAUGAGUUCCUAUGCUUUUCUUUUUUCUUUCUCGUCCUAUCAUAGCUCCCAGCCUAAUGGCACUGGAGUCUACUGAACACAUUCAUUUAUGUGAACUGCUGCUUUGCUGAGCUGUUUUCUGUAAAAGGAGGAGAAGACUCAAAAGCCCCUUCCCAGAAAUCAGCUGGGAUCUGCAACCUGUCAGAACUCCCCAGUGGGGGCUGUGAGCUAAAGCACGAUCAAUUCCAACUUCCUUAAACUUUGCAAGGGAUGGUUUGCCAAGAUCUCAAUUUCAGAGUUAUACUUUACUGCUCAGGGAAUCAGUCAGUUGCCUUUAAAUGCUUCUCAUAAAAAUUAGAUACCAAUGUAGUUCUCUAACAGCCAAGGGAAUUUAUAGAAGGCAUGGAACUUAGCAAAGAAUACUUGAUAUGUAGAAAUUUCAGAACCAAUGAUUUCUGUUUCAGGAGUAUCUGUUGCAAUUACAGACUCAAAAUCAGAAAGAAAAAAAAGUCCUGUCCUUCCUCUCAGCUGAAGCUUUUUGUCACUGAGUUCACAGAAAGUUGGCUGAGGAAAACCUUUUAUAAAUAUGGAUUUAUGUAUACCCCUUCCAUCAACUGCAUAGAGGACAGAGAAUAUAGCUGGUAGAGAGAAGGAAAAUGUAGGUAAGAGAAAUAUCUGCUGGACCAAGUAAAACAACCAGAACUUUCCCAAAUAUCAACAACAGCAAAAAAUCCAGGAAGUCCAUAUUUUGUAUAAGCAUGAUGGAAAGAAAUGAAGCCUCCCAAAAGAGGGCACUUACAGUGAGAUUUGAGCACUUGCAGAUGCAAAGAUUAAGGAUUGUGUAAAUAUUAUCUCCAGGGACCUGAAGGUAGAAACAGCUCAUCACACAGUGAAAAACUGCAGACCUAUAGGUCUCACAGAAGAGAAUCAGCAACAAGGGAAACAAGGGAACACGGGAAUGUUGUCACCAGCCUACUCCUCUGGCCCAUGGAGGAGCAAGUGGAGGUUGACACCAGUGCAUUGAGUGGUAUUUUCAAUCAUGGUAAUUAAGAUUAACUUAACAGGUAAUAAGGUGGAAUGCUGGUCAGAGAGCUCACAAAGGAAGGAGAUCAGGUCUUGUAUGUGAGCAGGAUUUUUGGAAAUGUCUCUCAACUCCAGAGAAACUUCUGUAAUUAGUAGCAGGGACUUCUGCAACCUCUGUAAUUAGUAACAAAUAGUAGCCACUUUGAGCUUUCGUGUGUAAGUGAAACGCCAGUGAGCAUGCCCCAGUAAUGAUAAAUGCUCUGAAAACGUUCUUCGUGAGGGGCUAGUUUUGUGAAAUGAGCUAUGUAAAUGUGGAGCCAAAGAUAAAUUGUAGAGACAACAGAGAAGGUACUGCUCAUGGUUUUCCUUCCUUGCUCUGCCCUCAUGCUUUGACUCCAAAUCAAAUAUUGAGUGAACAUGUUAAAAAUAUCUGUUUGAAGUUGGACACAGUAUUAGUCUGUCUGAGAUGCCCAUGUGUCUCUGUCCAGCCAGUGUAAAAUUCAAACAGCUCCUAGUUCAAAGCUUGGCUUGAGUAACUCUCAACAAACCCUUGAUUAUUUUCACAAAGAACCGAUGUCCAAGACUCCUAGAGAUGCUGUUGUAGAACCCUUCUAGUUUGUCCAAUGUGCAGCAUCCCUGACUAGCAGAGGUGAGUUUCUAGGACUCUCUAAAAAACCAACUCCUAUAAAAAGCAGUUUUAUAGCCCAUUUCCAUCUGGAUAAACUACAGUUUCCAUUUGUAUUUCAUUAACUCUUUUCCAUUUUAGUUCUCUCAUUUCAAAACAUCACGCAUGCUACAACUGGUCUUAUCUGUCAGAGUCCCUUGUAAAAAGUGGUUUAGAAAUAUCUCGAUAAUGUCUCACUUAGAAGAGGCUAAUAUCUGGUGGCUAAUAUAUCCAGUCUGUUUCCAAUAUCUAGUUGAAAAAAGAAGUCAGUAAUAAAUUAUUUGUUCCUACAAACGCAGAGGGUUUUAGUAAAUUUGUUGCAGUGGAUCUGUAUGGUGUGUGUAUGUGCAUAUGUGUGGCACUACAUGUUAUCAGAGAACAUGAACUUGUGUACAGGAUUACAUGUGACAGAACAAUGUCCUGAAUAAUUAAAAACAUAGUAAUUUAUUAUUCUUAACCUGAUAGUGUAUUCCAAGUUACUUAAAUCUUCCUAGGCCACCCUUUUGCAUGAAACCAACAACAUACCCACUUACUUUUAGGUAUGCUUAACACCCCACCUUGACAGAGUUCCUGUUCUUUUAGAGCUGGGCAUCCAAGACAACCAGUAUGUGUCCACCUCUGUGAUCAAGCUGUUCAGAGCAGUAGAGGUUCCUGCUAGGCAUAAGUUUGAGACUGUCCCAAAAGCUCCAAAGAGAGAAGGAAGGUUAAUUCCAGGCUGAAAUGCGACCAGUGUGAACACUUAGCUGCUCCAAGGAAUCAAGACCAAGGAAAAUAGAAGUGCAAGCCCCUUCUUCAUAAGUGACCAGUGGGAGACUCACUUCCUCCUCUGAUCUCAUGCUUAUGAGCAACAAAUGCAGUUUUAGAAAGAUGCUAGCGUUCCCCACCCCUCACCCACUUUGCCUGUGUGUCAAGGUGUGUCCAAGUCAUUCUACUCAACGGGAGACACAUGGUUCAAUUUCACCCAUUUGGUGGGUUUCUGAAAAUGAGAAAAAUAAUUCCAGUUCCUUUAUGUAAUUUGAAAAUUAACUUAGAUACUCCUCUAAGAUGAAAAAAAAGCUCAUACCCAUGUGAUGAGAGAAAGCAGGAAAGUAGCUGAGUUCUGUUCUUUUUUGCUUUGCUCAGCUCUGCUGCAUGGGACUCAGAUGAGUAUUUCUGUCAAAGGAGUUUCAAAUCUAAUGUUCGACUAGGAAAUUCAUAAUCCUUUGAGAGGAAACAAACGAGUGGUUUUAGAGAAACUAGACUGACUAGAUUCAAAUCCAAGUCCUACCACCCUAGUUAUGUGACCUUGAACAUUCACUCAACUCAUUUUCUUCACCUCUAAAAUAUGAUACUGUUAGUAUCUGUCCUUAGAGUUAAUAUGAGGAUUAAAUAAAUAGUAUCUUUAAGAGGUUUAAUAGGAAAAAAUCAGUAUGUAUUAGGUACUAUUAUUAUUUUCAACUAGGCGAUGGACUCUGGUUUUUAUCCUCAGUUCCAAUUGGCAGCUAAAAUAUCUCACUACCUCCCCCUCCAAGUUACUCUUCUUAAUCUUGAAUAUGGAAAGUUAGAGUCAUGGAGUGUAUCAUAGAGAAUGGUGCUAUGGAGACUUGGAGUUUGUGUGCCAAUGAGAAGAAAAGAAAGCCAAAGAACAGAAACAGGAGCAUCUUUUCACUGACCAGAACUAGAAUGGUCCUGUUAGGCCAGUUAGGCUGUACAGCCUUUUGUUCCUUUGAUUCCUCUUUCUUCUCUAAUCUCAAGUUAGAGGUGCCUCCCUCUCCUUCAAAAAUGAAGGCUAAGUAUCAGAGUGUCUGUGAAUUUUCAGACUGCAAGGGGCUGGUUUUGAGGAAAGUAAUGGCAAGAAACACACUGUCUUUGGAGAGUAUAUUUUGUUGUAAUUAAGGGAAAUGAUCAGCUUUACUUCUCUUGCAGAAAUAGGCAUUGCCAAUUGAGUGGUAAAAUAUGUAGGAAUGAGGAACCACAGCAGAUUCUUAUUUUAGUUAUGUUCUGUAAAGUUGCUACAAACACUGAAUCAGCAAAUACUGAACCAUUGCUCCUUAAUAGGGUUAGGUUCCUGUGAGCCUCUGGUCACAACAGUUUCUUUAACCAAUCAACACAUAACCCUAUUUUAUGUAGGUUUCUGUUUAAAGAUACCUUAUUUAAUAUAUACGGUUUGUUCCUUAAUAUUUAACCCGUGGCCAACAGCAAGCUUAUAUAAUGCACAUAUUUUCUCCGUAAGACCCAUCACAGCAUUUUUGCACUUAAGAACAGUAGGCAGCAUUUCACCAUUAUCUUUAAGGGCCAUGUUAAACACCAAAAUCAUCAAAAAGGGACAUAAAGAGGCAAAAAAUCUGGCAUUAAAUAGACUGUAAAAAGAACACUUGUUUACAGUGAGAGGAGCUGAGAGGAGAAGGCAGAGUGUCACCCUGUUCAGUGUCAGCUGGGAUAUGCUCAUUAGGGAAUUCAUGGUUUUUACUCUUCUGUACAUUGUCCACGCAUGACUACAAAAGCACCACAAGUAUGGAUUUGGGGGCCACAAAUAAAUUUUAAUGAGUAAGCAAAUUCGCAAAUACAGAAUCCAUGAAUAAUGAGGAUAGAGUACCAGUGUACUCUUCCAGCAGUGUAUAUAAAUUCCUCUGUUCUACAUUCUCACAGCACUUGGUGGUUUCAGAUUUUCAUUUUUACAAUUUGGUGAAUGGUUUUAUGUGUAGUUACCUCAUUAUAGCUCUCAAUGCCUUUAACAUAAAUGGUACACAAUAGGCACUUGAUGUAUAUUCAAUGAAUUAAUACACAGCCCACAGAAUCGAACUAGUUUGCAAAUUAGGAAAGCUUCCAUAAAAGUUCAUUUUUUUUAGGCUUUAUUGGAACACUGCGGUAUCUUUUUUAAAUGUCAGGCAGAUCAGUUACCUUGUCAAAUUCACAAAGAACAAAAAGUGCUAUAAAUACGUUUACAUUAUUUUUUUGUGAAUUUUUUUUCUCUUCACUCAUUUAGAGGCAUUCAGGUGAUUUCUAAUUAUUGCACACACAAAAGAAAAUGUCAUGGUAUAUUGAAACAUUAUUUCCUCUACUUCCUCCAUCCAGUAGCCUUUAGGGAUUGAAAACAAAAUCCUUAAAUUUUAAAUCAAGGUUGAAACUGUACCAAACUUUACCAGGAGGAAUAAGGUCCAAUAUAUAGCAUAUAUAUAGUUGUUUUAUACUCUCUGGUUUUUGACCUUUUUGAAUAUAAGAAAUGAUUAAUUAGUUUUAUUCGUGAAUGUUUACUUUCUUUCUAAAUGUACUUUCAAUCCUUAUGUCUUCAGUGUAGUUUGGAUGUUUCUUCUAAGAACAUAGUAUUCACUUUCCAAGUCUCAUGUGAGACACCAGCUUUAUUUGUUUAAAUUACUUGGAAAAUUUUAUAGUCAUAUAGUAUUUAACUUGGCAGUUUCAUAUAGGAGCAUAGAAAGGAAAGCUGCCUUAAGUUUCACUAAAAUGUGAAAAGACAAGUCAUGGCAUCCUCAAUCUUUCAUAGCCUUCUCUAAAAUGGCUUAUUUACAUUACUCUUUUCUCUGAGACAAAGCAGGAAGUUGCCCAGACUUAAAAAAAAGAGUUGCUUUUGUUUCUAAGGAAGUGGAUUAAUUAACCAUUUGUGAUAUUAACUAAUUAACCUAAUCUACAUAUACUUUUCAGACAGAAAAAACAUAGUAAUGUUGCAAAAUGCAGGACCCAAGAAUUGUCAACGCUCAAGGGCACUCAAGGGGCUCUCUUCUCUAAGACCCCUUUCUCAGUGAGAGGAUUCUACACUGUUGACCCCUCUCUCAGUGAAGAUGCUGGAGAGUUUUGGCACCUGUUCCCACUAACUUACUUUCGUGACUUGGAUUAUGACCUCCCCAUGUAAGGGAAGGCAGUAUAGUUACUGCCCCAUCCCCAUUCCUACCACUGAAAUAAAAUUCAUGUCUCCUACACUUCUAAACACUACUAGAUUCAAAUAGGCUGACAAUCUGCAACUCCACCUAAAGAUCUCUCAAAUCUUGCAGAAGCAAAUGGGGCAUGCAUGUUUCUCUUCAAAUCUUCUCAACCCUCCUUGGACUUCAGCCAUUGCUGCCCAACCCAUUCUAUACUGCUUUGACCACCUUUGCACAAGCAUAACCUGACAGACUUCUCUUAGAACCACACAGUUUACCUACAUCUCACUUUCUACUCCAGAGCUUCUCCAGUACAAUGAUGUGGGAUACUGUGGCAAUUCGCCUGGCACACACAUGUACAAUGGGAUGUUAAUUCCCAAAGGUCACCCUUGAUCAGUGGAAGAUGGGACUCACAGGAAUCCAGUGUGUAAAUAUGUUUCCAUUUCUUCUGUCAAAAAAUAAUUCAGAGACUCAUCUAAUAAUGCUCCCCAAGGUGGUCACUUGCAGUGGUGUCCAAUACAAUUGGCCUACUGUCCUUUCACUUUACUAUCCAUAACUCUUCCUCUUCCCUCUAAGAUCUCGUUCCACCCUAAGGACUUAACAUACACAACUCUGGCUCAGCCUCUGUAUUUGAAGAAACCCAGGUUAAAACAGAGAUACCAAAAGUAGCCACAGAAAGCUGUCAGGAUGGGAUUUUGGAACUAGCAAUAAGCACUAAUUGCUGGUUGUAAGUAAGGUAGGCAUAACUUCAAUAGUUUCAUAUAUCCAAAAAUAGUCCUACAAAUAACAUAUUCUAAUAAAUCAUAUAACAAUCAUAUAAUGUUUUUAAUCUCUCAAUAAUAAAAAUGUAUCAACUAUGCUAGAGGAAACUUUGAAUUAUCUUUCUAGUUUCUCUGUAGAAAAUGUUACAAAGUUGUCAUAUGGAGAAGAAAUCAAAGUGUAUACAGCUAUAAAAAGUAAGAUUAAUAGUAUUAUGCAUUUGAGAUUGGGCAUAAAUUUUAUGUUUUUUUUUUUUUUAUUUUCUAGUGUUUUGUGGUAUUAUUUCAGGGGUUGGUAAGUGACCUGAGCUAGUCUAAUUUGAAUUUCAGAUCUUAUGAUGAUGAACGGGCAUUUUCGCUGGAUUCAAACCUGAAAGAUUAUUGUCCCAGGGGCUAUAAGCUACUUUCUUGAAAGCAUGUAGGCUUAGAUAAUGGAGCCAAUAGCAACUAGGAAAUGCUAAAAAUUAAGAAAGAAGAAAAUAAUUUGACUCCUAGAAUAAGUGGAAUCUGAAACCACUGUUCCAUUAUAUGAGGCAAUAAAUUCCUCUUUCUUAGACAUUUGAGUUGGAUUUUCCAUUACUCACUACAGAAAGCAAAGGUACACAGGGAUUACUAUCCUCUUGAACACAAUGAAUGACAAAACAUUUGGCUUUUUUCUGGUAUAAAAACCAUAUCUAAUUAUUUCCAAUGUUAUUUCAAACAUGGCCCAUGACAUCCUGAGUAAACUGUACUUAUUCCUCAUUCUUAAUUUUCUUAUGAUUGCUUCAGGGAAAACUAUUUUGGUUUUCAUUAGUUUAUUUUCUCUGAUUUGCAUUCUUAUAGCACCUUAUAUUUCAUUUUUAUAUUAUAUAUAAAUAGAUGAUAGAUUGAUAAAUAGGUAGACAGAUGAUAGAUAGAUGAUAAAUUUGUCUUCUGUAUCUCCCAUAAGACUUUAAGCUCCAAGAGGGAGGCUUACCAUCUUCAUUUAUUUUCAAAGGUAUAUGCCUGGCAUCAAGCCCAAUGUCUGUAUGAAAAGAAUACUAGUUAAGUGAGAAAAUAGUGCCUGAUGGAAUGAUAGAAUGAAUGAAUUAUUUAACUCAUAUAAACAUGAAAAGCCAGAAUCUUCAAAUUGCUAAUAAAUACAUGAGUAUGUAUAUACCAUAUACAAUUAUGUAUGUAUACUUAUUUUAUACAUAUUUGUGUAUGUAUGUGUGUACAUAUAUAGAUACAUAUAUGUGUGAACUUAUAUAUGUAGACACACAGAGAAACAUACAUGUUAAAGAAUGUGAAGGGAAGAUCUAUACAGGCCUGAAUGCCAUGUAAUAGUCACAGUGCUCAGGAUCCCUUGAAAACCCAUUUGAUCUUAGAGUGGAGUAGGUAGUAGAGCAGAUGACAGAAAAAGAGGAAGGUAUGCUCUAAAUGCAAUCAGCAAAUACUAUUUUGUUUUAUGUUGAGAUAUUUUUUUCUACACAAAUUACAUAAGAAAAUUAUACUAUCUUGGUAUAAUAUGUGUGAUGAGGAUGGCUAAACAUUUGCAAUAAGAAUAAGUCAUUAAAUAUCCUGGGGCGAAAAUACCCAUAAUGAAAUACAAAUGAUCUCCUUGGUGAUUGUGGAUGCCAUGGGACAGAACACCAACCACAAGAAAAGAGAUUACCUGACUAUAAAGCCAAACUGACUGCAACCCAGGAAGUCACAACUGACUCCAUUUCUACCAUAGCCAAAUAAGGCAGCACUAUUCACAGAAGCCAAGACAUGGAAACAGCAUAAAUGUCCAUUGACAGAUGAAUGGAUUAAGAAGAUAUGUUAUAUAUACACAAUGGAAUACUAUUCAGC
Non-coding RNA from Sus scrofa (pig), 8604 nucleotides. Lineage: Eukaryota; Metazoa; Chordata; Mammalia; Artiodactyla; Suidae. The record is from RefSeq and is a predicted model, not a curated record.